GAUCCUGGCUCAGGAUGAACGCUAGCUACAGGCUUAACACAUGCAAGUCGCGGGGCAGCAUGACGAUGCUUGCAAUGUGAUGGCGACCGGCGCACGGGUGAGUAACGCGUAUCCAACCUUCCCCAUAGUAGGGUAUAGCCCGGCGAAAGUCGGAUUAAUCCCCUAUGUUGUUUGAAGCGGACAUCUAAUUCAAACCAAAGAUUCAUCGCUAUGGGAUGGGGAUGCGUCUGAUUAGGUUGCAGGCGGGGUAACGGCCCACCUGGCCGACGAUCAGUAGGGGUUCUGAGAGGAAGGUCCCCCACACUGGUACUGAGACACGGACCAGACUCCUACGGGAGGCAGCAGUGAGGAAUAUUGGUCAAUGGGCGCGAGCCUGAACCAGCCAAGUAGCGUGCAGGAUGACGGCCCUACGGGUUGUAAACUGCUUUUAUGCGGGGAUAAAGUGCGGCACGUGUGCCGUUUUGCAGGUACCGCAUGAAUAAGGACCGGCUAAUUCCGUGCCAGCCGCGGC
Molecule: ribosomal RNA, 511 nt
Filed under: uncultured bacterium
Lineage: Bacteria
Description: bacterial SSU rRNA
Rfam family: Bacterial small subunit ribosomal RNA
Source: RNAcentral